This 256-nucleotide ribosomal RNA is filed under the name uncultured bacterium. RNAcentral's name for it is "partial 16S ribosomal RNA". The record is from RNAcentral.
CUGCUGCCUUCCGUAGGAGUUUGGGCCGUGUCUCAGUCCCAAUGUGGCCGUUCACCCUCUCAGGCCGGCUACUGAUCGUCGCCUUGGUGGGCUGUUACCCCGCCAACAAGCUAAUCAGACGCGGAUCCAUCGUAUACCACCGGAGUUUUUCACACCGUCUCAUGCCGAGACUGUGCGCUUAUGCGGUAUUAGCACCUAUUUCUAAGUGUUAUCCCCCAGUAUACGGCAGGUUAUCCACGCGUUACUCACCCGUCCG